UGGUGAGGAAACAGAACCGACUCCGGUGAGU
This 31-nucleotide non-coding RNA is filed under the name Rattus norvegicus (Norway rat). Lineage: Eukaryota; Metazoa; Chordata; Mammalia; Rodentia; Muridae. The record is from RNAcentral.